UAAUCCAUUAGCCCGUCGUAGUGCUGGAAGUAAUCAUCCGGAGAAUACCUGACUGCUAUUACCGUAGUAAUCAUCGGCAAUGAUUCAUUAACGGACGCAACUCCGCUUGAGGGAGGGGGUCUGCUGGCUGAUUAGGUAACGUUGGCGGGGUAACCGGCCUCACCAAGCCUUCGAUCAGUAACUGGUGUUGUAGUAGCACGACCAGUCACACGGGCACUGAGACACGGGCCCGACUCCUACGGGAGGCAGCAGUAAGGAAUAUUGGUCAAUGGGCGAAAGCCUGAACCAGCCAUGCCGCGUGGAGGAUGAAGGUCCUCUGGAUUGUAAACUUCUUUUAUCUGGGAAGAAAUCCGGAAUUCUUUUGCGGUUGACGGUACCAGA
RNAcentral lists this ribosomal RNA (381 nucleotides) under uncultured bacterium. Its description in RNAcentral is "bacterial SSU rRNA". It matches the Rfam family "Bacterial small subunit ribosomal RNA", at positions 76 to 482 of the family's 1533-position model. The record is from RNAcentral.